AUGGCGACCGACCUAGAGGCGAUGGGAGGCCGUGGCAAUAACUCGGCCCUGGAAGAUGGUAGCGGCUCGGUGCUCAUCGCGAAGGCAUGGAGGCGAGGCAACGGGAGGCCGGAGGUGCUCCAUGAGGGCAACUCAAGGCAACGGAGGAGAGGCCAUGGCAGGAUCGUCGGAGACGAUCUAGAAGCAGACGACUGCGGUUGUGACCGGCUCGGCGGAAGCGGCUCAUCGCAUAGCAAAGGGCUCAAAGCAGAGACGAGGCAGACCGGCGGCGAUUUAGUAAUAGCGGCAGCUCGUGGUGGCAGCGGGCCCUCUCCUAGAGAUCUGAUGAAGUGCCGAUGGACAAUGAUCAACCAACUGGAUCAACUCUGU
RNAcentral lists this ribosomal RNA (369 nucleotides) under Triticum aestivum (bread wheat). Its description in RNAcentral is "partial small subunit ribosomal RNA". Lineage: Eukaryota; Viridiplantae; Streptophyta; Magnoliopsida; Poales; Poaceae. The record is from RNAcentral.